This 560-nucleotide ribosomal RNA is filed under the name uncultured Alphaproteobacteria bacterium. Its description in RNAcentral is "bacterial SSU rRNA". It matches the Rfam family "Bacterial small subunit ribosomal RNA", at positions 338 to 916 of the family's 1533-position model. The record is from RNAcentral. Lineage: Bacteria; Pseudomonadati; Pseudomonadota; Alphaproteobacteria.
CCUACGGGAGGCAGCAGUGGGGAAUCUUAGACAAUGGGCGCAAGCCUGAUCUAGCCAUGCCGCGUGAGUGAUGAAGGCCUUAGGGUCGUAAAGCUCUUUCGCCUGUGAAGAUAAUGACUGUACCAGGUAAAGAAACCCCGGCUAACUCCGUGCCAGCAGCCGCGGUAAUACGGAGGGGGUUAGCGUUGUUCGGAAUUACUGGGCGUAAAGCGCGCGUAGGCGGACAUUUAAGUCAGAGGUGAAAUCCCAGGGCUCAACCCUGGAACUGCCUUUGAUACUGGGUGUCUUGAGUUCGAGAGAGGUGAGUGGAAUUCCGAGUGUAGAGGUGAAAUUCGUAGAUAUUCGGAGGAACACCAGUGGCGAAGGCGGCUCACUGGCUCGAUACUGACGCUGAGGUGCGAAAGUGUGGGGAGCAAACAGGAUUAGAUACCCUGGUAGUCCACACCGUAAACGAUGAAUGCCAGUCGUCGGGUAGUAUACUAUUCGGUGACACACCUAACGGAUUAAGCAUUCCGCCUGGGGAGUACGGUCGCAAGAUUAAAACUCAAAGGAAUUGACGG